UCGAGGACACUGUGUGGUGGGUAGUUUGACUGGGGCGGUCUCCUCCCAAAGAGUAACGGAGGAGCACGAAGGUCGGCUAAUCCUGGUCGGACAUCAGGAGGUUAGUGUAAUGGCACAAGCCGGCUUAACUGCGAGACAGACACGUCGAGCAGGUACGAAAGUAGGUCAUAGUGAUCCGGUGGUUCUGUAUGGAAGGGCCAUCGCUCAACGGAUAAAAGGUACUCCGGGGAUAACAGGCUGAUACCGCCCAAGAGUUCACAUCGACGGCGGUGUUUGGCACCUCGAUGUCGGCUCAUCACAUCCUGGGGCUGAAGCCGGUCCCAAGGGUAUGGCUGUUCGCCAUUUAAAGUGGUACGCGAGCUGGGUUUAGAACGUCGUGAGACAGUUCGGUCCCUAUCUGCCGUGGGCGUUUGAGAUUUGAGAAGAGCUGCUCCUAGUACGAGAGGACCGGAGUGGACGAACCUCUGGUGUUCCGGUUGUCAUGCCAAUGGCAUUGCCGGGUAGCUACGUUCGGACGGGAUAAACGCUGAAAGCAUCUAAGCGUGAAGCCUCCUUCAAGAUGAGAUCUCACUGGAACUUCGAGUUCCCUGUAGGGCCCAGGAAGACUACCUGGUUGAUAGGUCAGGUGUGUAAGCGUUGUGAGGCGUUGAGCUAACUGAUACUAAUUGCCCGUGAGGCUUGACCAU
RNAcentral lists this ribosomal RNA (686 nucleotides) under Thalassolituus marinus. RNAcentral's name for it is "partial 23S ribosomal RNA". It matches the Rfam family "Bacterial large subunit ribosomal RNA", at positions 2245 to 2925 of the family's 2925-position model. Lineage: Bacteria; Pseudomonadati; Pseudomonadota; Gammaproteobacteria; Oceanospirillales; Oceanospirillaceae. The record is from RNAcentral.